This is a long non-coding RNA of Tyto alba (common barn owl), 783 nucleotides long. RefSeq lists it as uncharacterized. NCBI's taxonomy places the organism in Eukaryota, Metazoa, Chordata, Aves, Strigiformes, Tytonidae. The record is from RefSeq and is a predicted model, not a curated record. The transcript is spliced from 4 exons.
CCCUUAAAGGCGCAGCGCAGCGCGGAGGCCGGGGUGGGGAUUUGCCGAGCGCCGUUCCCGCCCCGCCGGCCCCCUCGGUUCGCGGGUCUCCUCCGGGGGAGCGGGCGUCUGAGGCCCUCGGCAACGCUGGAAAAUGUACCAACAAGCUCAUCACUGCUACAGACCCUUCACAGCUUUGCCAGCCACUUCUCCACAGGUUUCCAGAACUUCUGUUUGUUUGCAAGCGUUGAAGUCCCACUCCCUAUAAAACUGAAGUAGAAAUGGACAUAGACAAAAAGCAUCCCAUCGUGCAUACAGCCACUUGGGAGCAGCUUGGUUUGUUGAAAGAACAUCUUCAGUGUAUCUUGGAAAAUUAAUGGUGCAUGAUUCUACACUAUGUCAUCGAGAUGAUAGGACCAGGUGGAGACAUGAUAACCUUGGAGAAGAUCUGACUCACGGUGCCAAACACAAGAGGCUUGCCAUUAUUCUCCGCCUGCAGGGGAACUGGUAUAAACCUUAAACCAAUCCUCCCCUGCUGCAGGACCUGCACAGCUCAGAGGCAGAAGCCGUUUACAUGCAUUUAUUUCCACAGAAUCAUUCCAGAAUGAAAGCCGGCGAUGCUAGAAAAACCUUACAUAUUUAUGCUGCCAUGACUGUGCACUUUUGCACUUUAAUACUCCGGGAAGUAUUGGGAAAAUGUAAUCCUGUGGCAAGUUUGGCUUUCUGAAGGAUAAACUACCCGUGUGACAUUCAGGUCGUAAAUGCUGCAAAGACCAAUGCAAACACACCCCAGCAACGCUGAGG